Molecule: ribosomal RNA, 253 nt
Filed under: uncultured bacterium
Lineage: Bacteria
Description: partial 16S ribosomal RNA
Rfam family: Bacterial small subunit ribosomal RNA
Source: RNAcentral
UACGUAGGGUGCGAGCGUUAAUCGGAAUUACUGGGCGUAAAGCGUGCGCAGGCGGUUUUGUAAGCCAGAUGUGAAAUCCCCGGGCUCAACCUGGGAAUGGCAUUUGGGACUGCAAGGCUUGAGUUUGGCAGAGGAGACUGGAAUUCCUGGUGUAGCAGUGAAAUGCGUAGAUAUCAGGAGGAAUACCGAUGGCGAAGGCAGGUCUCUGGGCUAUAACUGACGCUCAUGCACGAAAGCGUGGGGAGCGAACAGG